UGGGGAAUCUUCCGCAAUGGACGAAAGUCUGACGGAGCAACGCCGCGUGAGUGAUGACGGCCUUCGGGUUGUAAAGCUCUGUUAAUCGGGACGAAUGGUUCUUGUGCAAAUAGUGCGAGGAUUUGACGGUACCGGAAUAGAAAGCCACGGCUAACUACGUGCCAGCAGCCGCGGUAAUACGUAGGUGGCAAGCGUUGUCCGGAAUUAUUGGGCGUAAAGCGCGCGCAGGCGGAUUGGUCAGUCUGUCUUAAAAGUUCGGGGCUUAACCCCGUGAUGGGAUGGAAACUGCCAAUCUAGAGUAUCGGAGAGGAAAGUGGAAUUCCUAGUGUAGCGGUGAAAUGCGUAGAUAUUAGGAAGAACACCAGUGGCGAAGGCGACUUUCUGGACGAAAACUGACGCUGAGGCGCGAAAGCCAGGGGAGCGAACGGGAUUAGAUACCCCGGUAGUCCUGGCCGUAAACGAUGGGUACUAGGUGUAGGAGGUAUCGACCCCUUCUGUGCCGGAGUUAACGCAAUAAGUACCCCGCCUGGGGAGUACGGCCGCAAGGUUG
RNAcentral lists this ribosomal RNA (550 nucleotides) under uncultured bacterium. Its description in RNAcentral is "bacterial SSU rRNA". It matches the Rfam family "Bacterial small subunit ribosomal RNA", at positions 355 to 896 of the family's 1533-position model. The record is from RNAcentral.